UAGGGGAUUUUGCGCAAUGGACGAAAGUCUGACGCAGCAACGCCGCGUGAGGGAUGAAGGCCUUCGGGUUGUAAACCUCUGUUGGAUGGGAAAAAAAGUAGCAAUAUUUGAUGGUACCAUUCGAGUAAGCACCGGCUAACUACGUGCCAGCAGCCGCGGUAAUACGUAGGGUGCAAGCGUUGUUCGGAAUCACUGGGCGUAAAGGGAGUGUAGGCGGGAUCGUAAGUUAGGAGUUUAAUCCACGGGCUCAACUCGUGGUCUGCUUUUAAUACUGCGGUUCUUGAGUAUGGGAGAGGGCGAUGGAAUUCCAGGUGUAGCGGUGGAAUGCGUAGAUAUCUGGAAGAACACCAGUAGCGAAGGCGGUCGCCUGGCCCAAUACUGACGCUGAUACUCGAAAGCUAGGGGAGCAAACAGGAUUAGAUACCCUGGUAGUCCUAGCCGUAAACGAUGAACACUAGUUGCUGGAGGAGUCAAUCUUUUCGGUGACGAAGCUAACGCAUUAAG
Molecule: ribosomal RNA, 504 nt
Filed under: uncultured bacterium
Lineage: Bacteria
Description: bacterial SSU rRNA
Rfam family: Bacterial small subunit ribosomal RNA
Source: RNAcentral